CCUACGGGUGGCAGCAGUGGGGAAUUGUUCGCAAUGGGCGCAAGCCUGACGACGCAACGCCGCGUGGAGGAUGAAGAUCUUCGGGUCGUAAACUCCUGUCGAGCGGGAAGAAUUGCUGCGGAGUGAAUAGCUUCGCAGCUUGACGGUACCGCUAAAGGAAGCCCCGGCUAACUCCGUGCCAGCAGCCGCGGUAAUACGGGGGGGGCAAGCGUUGUUCGGAAUUACUGGGCGUAAAGGGCUCGUAGGCGGCCAACUAAGUCGGACGUGAAAUCCCCAGGCUCAACCUGGGAACUGCGUCCGAUACUGGAUGGCUUGAAUUCGGGAGAGGGAUGCAGAAUUCCAGGUGUAGCGGUGAAAUGCGUAGAUAUCUGGAGGAAUACCGGUGGCGAAGGCGGCAUCCUGGACCGACAUUGACGCUGAGGAGCGAAAGCCAGGGGAGC
RNAcentral lists this ribosomal RNA (440 nucleotides) under uncultured bacterium. Its description in RNAcentral is "bacterial SSU rRNA". It matches the Rfam family "Bacterial small subunit ribosomal RNA", at positions 338 to 769 of the family's 1533-position model. The record is from RNAcentral.